AUACAUUUCAUGUCAUCAGUAUGUGUCAUGUCGUUAUAAACAAGGUGUUCGAUUUGAAGGGCUCCAUGAGAAGUCGAUUCAUUGAUCCAUCUAAAGAGAGCAGUGGGGACGUACUGUUGGAUGAGAACUACCUUCAAUCAAUUUGCUGCAACCCAGUGUACGUGUACCCCCACUCCAAGUGUGUACUGAUGCAGGCCAUACUAGCCGACACUGAGUUCCUGGCACAGAACGCCAUCAUGGACUACUCUCUCUAAUCACUUGCAUCGAUGACUCUACGGGAGAACUUGUCGUUGGAAUUAUUGGUAAGCUUGUGAGGGGGUAGGGAAGUGUGUGGCUUGUAAAACAACAAGCUACGUCGUUCAGUUCCUCUCGACGUUUGUUGAUUGUGAUUGUGCCAUGAAGAUUGUUUGUAAUAUUCUUUUUGAAUUAAAGAUGUCUUAUAACUUUAAUCACGAGUUGCAAUCCGUUCAUCAAUUUAAUAGUUGUGAACGUCAAGUGUAUUAAUUUUCUGAUCAUAUAAUUAUUCUUUCUCCCUCCCCAACAAACUAUAUCCGUACCUUUACGCUGGAUAAGAGGGUGGAAAUGUUCCUCAAGAAGACAGCUGGGAAGACGCUACCAACUGUCGUGUACCCUGAACUCUACCAUAAGAGAUUCUGCGAGGCAAUGGACAAAUAUUUCACUGUAGUGCCUGAUAAAUGGACAGGGCUGGGUGCAGACGUCAAGUACUAGCAUUGUAUUAAAAUUAUUAUAAUUAUGUGUGUCAUGUCUCCGUCGUGAUUUUGUUUUUAUUGCUCAAAGCAUCACUGUAAUGUGACUAUGUUCUCUGUCUUCAAUUGUUAUUUCUGAAAUGUUGAUAGAAAUGUGCUGUCAGUGCUUUUGUUG
This is a long non-coding RNA of Halichondria panicea, 882 nucleotides long. RefSeq lists it as uncharacterized. The record is from RefSeq and is a predicted model, not a curated record. The transcript has 2 exons. NCBI's taxonomy places the organism in Eukaryota, Metazoa, Porifera, Demospongiae, Suberitida, Halichondriidae.